RNAcentral lists this ribosomal RNA (185 nucleotides) under Olea europaea subsp. europaea. Its description in RNAcentral is "Eukaryotic large subunit ribosomal RNA". It matches the Rfam family "Eukaryotic large subunit ribosomal RNA", at positions 2139 to 2325 of the family's 3401-position model. Lineage: Eukaryota; Viridiplantae; Streptophyta; Magnoliopsida; Lamiales; Oleaceae. The record is from Rfam by way of RNAcentral.
AGUUUAAUUAAAACAAAGCAUUGCGAUGGUCUGCGCAGAUGCUCAUGCAAUGUGAUUUCUGCCCAGUGCUCUGAAUGUCAAAGUGAAGAAAUUCAACCAAGCGCGGUUAAACGGCGGGAGUAACUAUGACUCUCUUAAGGUAGCGAGCAUACCUCAUCUCAAAACACAAAGAUACUUAAUGGUAU